Molecule: ribosomal RNA, 449 nt
Filed under: uncultured bacterium
Lineage: Bacteria
Description: bacterial SSU rRNA
Rfam family: Bacterial small subunit ribosomal RNA
Source: RNAcentral
AGAGUUUGAUCCUGGCUCAGAUUGAACGCUGGCGGCAUGCCUUACACAUGCAAGUCGAACGGUAACAGGUCUUCGGAUGCUGACGAGUGGCGAACGGGUGAGUAAUACAUCGGAACGUGCCCGAUCGUGGGGGAUAACGAGGCGAAAGCUUUGCUAAUACCGCGUACGAUCUACGGAUGAAAGCGGGGGAUCUUCGGACCUCGCGCGGACGGAGCGGCCGAUGGCAGAUUAGGUAGUUGGUGGGAUAAAAGCUUACCAAGCCGACGAUCUGUAGCUGGUCUGAGAGGAUGAUCAGCCACACUGGGACUGAGACACGGCCCAGACUCCUACGGGAGGCAGCAGUGGGGAAUUUUGGACAAUGGGCGAAAGCCUGAUCCAGCCAUGCCGCGUGCAGGAUGAAGGCCUUCGGGUUGUAAACUGCUUUUGUACGGAACGAAAAGCCUCUUUCU